AAACGGGCGUUUAGCAAAUACGUCAGUGGCAGACGGGUGAGUAACGCGUGGGAACGUACCUUUUGGUUCGGAACAACACAGGGAAACUUGUGCUAAUACCGGAUAAGCCCUUACGGGGAAAGA
RNAcentral lists this ribosomal RNA (123 nucleotides) under Rhodopseudomonas sp. JA635. RNAcentral's name for it is "partial 16S ribosomal RNA". It matches the Rfam family "Bacterial small subunit ribosomal RNA", at positions 64 to 207 of the family's 1533-position model. The record is from RNAcentral. Lineage: Bacteria; Pseudomonadati; Pseudomonadota; Alphaproteobacteria; Hyphomicrobiales; Nitrobacteraceae.